Molecule: long non-coding RNA, 2540 nt
Organism: Eriocheir sinensis (Chinese mitten crab)
Lineage: Eukaryota; Metazoa; Arthropoda; Malacostraca; Decapoda; Varunidae
Exons: 3
Source: RefSeq, a predicted model, not a curated record
AUAAGCCCCCCCCCCCCCCACACACACACACACACUUCUUAGCACUCUGUCCCAUAAUACAGGCCAGUCAGCAGACCAAUAGUCCUCGCAGGAAUCCCACGGAGUCGCAGAAGAUCCCAGAGUGCCUCGCGAUGCACUGAGUCAAACGCUUUCUUGAGAUGGACAUAAGCUGCAAGCAUCCCCUGUUCAAACUCACAUUGGUGCUCCACCAGUACGCUAGGAUACGGUCAGUUGUUGACUUAGCAGGCGUGAACCCACACUGUUCAGGUCUCUGCAGCUUCAGCAGCUGGCUGCGAAUGCACCAGCAAUAGGUGGGCAAGCCCCUUGCCUGGCACACUGAGCGGUGUAAUACCACGGUAGUUGUUGCAGUCCACCAACAGUUUGGCCCACAGUAACUCCCUACAUAUUCAUUAUUCAAAGGAACAAAAAAACAAGUCAGUGCAACAUGGUCUGGAGCAAGGGAAGGAGAAAUGGCAAGCUGCAUUUAUGCUGAGCAAAUUUAGCCCCCAAAAGUUACAAAUAUGGAAGUGUACAUGUUUAUGGCUGUUUUAAUUGAUAUUAUAUGCAGCACAGCAUGGAUUGUUCCCCUCACCCCAUACUUUUUUGUGUGUGUUAUACCUGUUGUUGUUGUUGACUCUAAGAGAGUGACUUGCUAGGAAUUAUAGAUGCCAGGGCCGACAGAACCAGGGUGGGAGGUGAAAUUAUAAGUUUUUUUUAACCUUUGCUGGGCGGGAUAGAGCACACUUAUCACCAGACAGAGAACCAGGUGGAGAGGUGGAGUUAUAACCUUUGCCAGGGCAGGAUGGAGCACACUUAUCACCAGACAGAGAACCAGGUGGAGAGGUGGAGUUAUAACCCUUGCCAGGGCAGGAUGGAGCACACUAACACCAGACAGAGAACCAGGUGGAGAGGUGGAGUUAUAACCUUUGCCAGGGCAGGAUGGAGCACACUUAUCACCAGACAGAGAACCAGGUGGAGAGGUGGAGUUAUAACCUUUGCCAGGGCAGGAUGGAGCACACUUUACACCAGACAUAGAACCAGGUGGAGAGGUGGAGUUAUAACCUUUGCCGGGGCAGGAUGGAGCACACUAACACCAGACAGAGAACCAGGUGCAGAGGUGGAAUUAUAACCUUUGUCGGGGUAGGAUGGAGCACACUAACACCAGACAGAGAACCAGGUGGACAGAUGGAAUUAUAACCUUUGCCAGGGCGGGAUGGAGCACACUAACACCAGACAGAGAGCUAGGCGGAGAGGUGGAAUCAGAGCAUUAGCCUGAACAAGGAGGAAUAUACUAACAUGACAGGAGAGUUAGAGCAUCCUAGGAAAGGCCAUAAUCCUGUAGUGGACUGUUGAUGGUUAACCUGUCCACUGCAACUGUCAGGGAUUUGUCCUUCUCUGGUAGCCUGGUAACUUAUAGUCCCAGGUUUCCUCUGCCUCUAUGGUGGAUAGUGGAGUGUUUCCCAUGUGGUAUUGGUGUGCUGGAUAUCCCUUCACUGGUAGCCUGGUAACAUACACUCCCAGGUCUUUCUCUGCCUCUGUGGUGGAUAGUGCAGUGUUUCCCAUGUGGUAUUGGUGUGCUGGAUAUCCCUUCACUGGUAGCCUGGUAACAUACACUCCCAGGUCUUUCUCUGCCUCUGUGGUGGAUAGUGCAGUGUUUCCCAUGUGGUAUUGGUGUGCUGGAUAUCCCUUCACUGGUAGCCUGGUAACAUACACUCCCAGGUCUUUCUCUGCCUCUGUGGUGGAUAGUGGAGUGUUUCCCAUGUGGUAUUGGUAUGCUGGAUAUCCCUUCACUGGUAGCCUGGUAACAUACACUCCCAAGGCUUUCUCUGCCUUUGUGGUGGAUAGUGGAGUGUUUGCCAUGUGGUAUUGGUGUGCUGGAUAUCCCUUCACUGGUAGCCUGGUAACUUACACUCCCAAGGCUUUCUCUGCCUUUGUGGUGGAUAGUGGAGUGUUUGCCAUGUGGUAUUGGUGUGCUGAAUAUCCCCUCCAAAGGUGCAGGACUUAACAUUUUUAUUCAUUUAAUUAUAGCAGACACUUUGUUCCAUUCCUGUAGCUUGGUGAGGUCAAGAGUUAAACAUAGUAAUGUAAUGGCAUUUUCUUGCAUGGGAUGUGCAUUAGUGUGUGACCCUGAUGUGAAAUUUGUCGUUUGAGAGGAAUGAAAGGUUGUCAUGUUUGGUUGUUGUUCAGCAGUACAGUGAUCAGCAGGAUCCUCCAGCAGACCAAGCACUGGGGUUUGGGAGUGUAUUUUUUCUUUUUUCCAAUUCUUUGCCGAUCGAAGGGCUUGAUCAGUAGUUAUUUAGCAAGAUUGAAUUAGUUUCCAUUCUUGUUUCCAGUAUAUUCAUGGACACAUAAAGCGGUAAGCUUGUGGUUGUUGCAGCAUUCUCUGCCGAACUGAAGGGCUUGCUCAACAGUUAUUUAGCAAGAUUGAAUUAGUUUCCAUUCUUGUUUCCAGUAUAUUCAUGGAAACAUAAAGAGGUAAGCUUGUGGGUGUUGCAGCAUAUGUUUCUUCUUUCUACAAACACUGUUUUCGACUUUCUUCU